RNAcentral lists this ribosomal RNA (452 nucleotides) under Rinodina mniaraea. Its description in RNAcentral is "eukaryotic LSU rRNA". The stretch from base 92 to 245 matches the Rfam family "5.8S ribosomal RNA". The record is from RNAcentral. Lineage: Eukaryota; Fungi; Ascomycota; Lecanoromycetes; Caliciales; Physciaceae.
GGGGGGCCCCAAACCGGCCUCCUCGNGCCCGCCGAAGGCCCCAUCAAACCCUGUUAUUAGUGUCGUCCGAGCAAACAAACACAAUUGUUAAAACUUUCAACAACGGAUCUCUUGGUUCCGGCAUCGAUGAANAACGCAGCGAAAUGCGAAAAGUAAUGUGAAUUGCANAAUUCCGUGAAUCAUCGAAUCUUUGAACGCACAUUGCGCCCUUUGGUAUUCCGAAGGGCAUGCCUGUUCGAGCGUCAUUGCACCCUUCAAGCACUGCUUGGUAUUGGGCGUCNCCCCCGUGGCGCGCCUGAAUUUCAGUGGCGGUCCGGCGAGACUUCAAGCGUAGCAAGAUCUUCGCAUCCCGCUUUGGAAGCCCUCUCGCCGCGCGCCGGCCAGACAACCCCCCAGCAUAUCAAUGAUUGACCUCGGAUCAGGUAGGGAUACCCGCUGAACUUAAGCAUAUC